Molecule: RNA transcript, 1693 nt
Organism: Ictalurus punctatus (channel catfish)
Lineage: Eukaryota; Metazoa; Chordata; Actinopteri; Siluriformes; Ictaluridae
Gene: vrk1
Gene name: VRK serine/threonine kinase 1
Exons: 12
Source: RefSeq, a predicted model, not a curated record
AUUAGGUGCGUCGUCUUACUUCCGGGUUGAGAGUUGUGCGGGAAGUUUGGAGCUGCUAAGCGCUUGUAUUUAUUUGCGUUCGGUAACUAGUGUUGUGUACAGGUUCAGAUGCCACCCAAAACCAAGGCGGCCGGUAAAGCUAAAGGGCCGGCGAAGAGAAAGCUGGCCGAGGAGUUCCCGCCCGGAGAGGUUCUGACGGACACGGCGAAGAAAAGCUGGAAGCUCGGCACUCCUGUCGGUCAGGGAGGCUUUGGCCUGUUGUAUCUGGCGAGCGACGACACGUCGAAGGCCGUCAGAGCCGACGCACCUUACGUCGUCAAAGUGGAGCCGAGCGAUAAUGGCCCUCUCUUCUCCGAGCUGAAGUUUUACAUGCGAGCCGCCAAACCUGAUCUGAUCGGCGCUUGGAUAAAGUCCCGGAAACUGAAAUACUUAGGGGUGCCAAAAUAUUGGGGCUCAGGACUUCACGAGAAAGGAGGCAAGAGGUACAGGUUCAUGGUCAUGGACCGAUUCGGAACGGAUCUGCAGAAGAAGUUCGAAGAAGGCGGCAAGAGAUUUCCCCGGAAAUUGGUUCUUCAGCUUGGCCUUAGACUCCUCGACAUCCUCGAGUACAUCCACGACCACGAAUACGUCCACGCCGAUAUCAAAGCCUCCAACCUCCUACUCUCCCACAAGAACCCCAAUCAGGUUUACUUGGUGGAUUACGGACUGGCCUACAGAUACUCGCCGGAAGGUGUGCCGAAGGAAUACAAAGAGGACCCGAAGAGAUGCCACGACGGGACCAUCGAGUUCACCAGCAUCGACGCACAUCACGGAGUUUCUCCCUCCAGAAGAGGCGAUCUUGAAAUCCUGGGUUACUGCAUGAUCCAGUGGCUGUGCAGCCGUCUGCCCUGGGAGGAUAAACUCCAGGACCCGGUUUACGUCAGAGAAUCGAAAAUACGGUGUCGCAACAACAUCAGAGAUUUUAUGAAGAGCUGUUUCACUGCAGGACAGGAACCAGGCGUCAGAGGAGCCGUUUGCUCGCCGUAUGAAGCGAUGGCACUUCUGAAGCUCGGUGACAGGCGCACAGCAGAAGGAGCGAUCCCUCCUCGGGCUGUUGUCUUGCUCGCGCACGUCUCGUCCCAACGCCGAGGUGACGGGAGGCGGCGCGCUUAGCGAGGCCAUCAUGGCUAAUUCUGUUUGGUGUGACAAUUUGAGCAGCCGACGACAAACAACAGUCUGCGAGCAGCAGCGAAUGAGAAACAGCGCGCGGUGUUUUGUCGCCCUCUUUUCCCACUAAACUUAGCCUGAAGGUCAGAGUGCCGCCGCCCGCCGCGCGGAGACUCGGGUGCAGGAAGCGCGCUCGAAAUUCCCAGCGCAGUGUUAAACACACACCUUCCCCUUUUAUCGCUUUGCGAAAUGGAAACGGCUCUUCACGCAGAGGCGGGCAAAAGUUCUGCUUUCUGCCAGUCACGCCGUCCGUCUCAUCCGGCGCAGUGAUGCAGAACGACGCACAGUGUGCGGAAUAAUGCCUUCGGUGGCGUGCUGUCGUAGGGAAAUAAUCAUCGAUGGAGCGGAGAGGAACUUCUGAAGUUCAUGGAGGAGGUGAAGACCCUGGGGUACACGGACAAACCCGACUACCCGAAGCUGCGCGGCAUUCUGCAGCAGGGAUUAAAGAGCAUCGGCGCCACCGACGACGACAAGCUGGACUUCUCGG